GCACAGAAACAUAGCUAGGAAGGCACGAGAGGAAGCAGAGUUACAAUUUAUGUAGAGGAAAGUAAUGUGACCUGUAUUGGGAAAAUUUGGUUCCCAACGCUCACAUAUUAUUCGCAUAGAGUCUCACUAAAGAAAGCGGUCUUAUCGUGGUCGACUUAAGUAAGACCGGCCCCAAUCAAUAAACGGAUCAAUUGACGUGACUCUCUGUAACGUCACAUC
RNAcentral lists this long non-coding RNA (219 nucleotides) under Nicotiana benthamiana. RNAcentral describes it as "long non-coding RNA (NBEN_LNC005511)". Lineage: Eukaryota; Viridiplantae; Streptophyta; Magnoliopsida; Solanales; Solanaceae. The record is from RNAcentral.